AUGGCUGUCCUGGUGCUGCUCCUCUCCCUGGUGACCUUUCCAACCUGUGUCCUGUCCCAGGUGCAGCUGAAGGAAUCAGGACCUGGACUGGUGAAGCCCUCGGAGACCUUGUCUCUCACCUGCACUGUCUCUGGGUUCUCAUUAACCAGCUAUGAUGUAAACUGGGUCCGGCAGCCUCCAGGAAAGGGUCUGGAGUGGAUAGAAGCAGUGUGGGCUGGUGGAGCUAUAAAAUACAAUUCAGCUCUCCAACUCCGAGUCAGCAUCAGCAGGGACACCUCCAUGAGCCAAGUUUUCCUAAAACUGAACAGUCUGCAAAUGAGGACACAGCCAUGUAUUACUGUGCCAGACACACACUGAGGAAUUCCUCUGUGAGCCUGCACAAAAUCCUCACUGCAGUGACAUUCAGGUCCAGAAGGGGCUGCUGA
Cricetulus griseus (Chinese hamster) is the source of this 425-nucleotide non-coding RNA. The record is from the annotation of a RefSeq genome assembly. NCBI's taxonomy places the organism in Eukaryota, Metazoa, Chordata, Mammalia, Rodentia, Cricetidae.